GGCUAACAUGGGUGGAAAUUUAUCCCGAAAAGGGACUAUGCUACUUUAGGGCCCUUAUAUUGCAUUAUCUGUGUCAUGCUUACAGAUGUAUAUUCUUGCUGAAACCAAAUGAAUAAAAGAACGUAUUUUGUGUUUGAAGUCGAGCUAUUAGCCAUUUUUCGAGUAAAAUUAUGGGUUCAUGUCUCAAUUACAAGCUUAUAUGGAUAGGACACAAAAAAUGAAAUUACUAAGACUGAAUGAGGAGUAUGGUGAACCUG
This 257-nucleotide long non-coding RNA is filed under the name Lupinus angustifolius (narrow-leaved blue lupine). Its description in RNAcentral is "long non-coding RNA (LANG_LNC003766)". The record is from RNAcentral. Lineage: Eukaryota; Viridiplantae; Streptophyta; Magnoliopsida; Fabales; Fabaceae.